This is a long non-coding RNA of Taeniopygia guttata (zebra finch), 4611 nucleotides long. The record is from Ensembl. NCBI's taxonomy places the organism in Eukaryota, Metazoa, Chordata, Aves, Passeriformes, Estrildidae.
UUUUUUUUUUUUUAUGAGCCUGUAAACAUAUAAAAGAGCAUUACUUAUUCCUUCAAGCAGGGAACUUCAGCUCCUGCAAUGUUCAUUUUUCACAAACAAUUAGCAAAAUGAAUGAGAUUGAAGACACAUUUAGAAUUCCUCAGGAUAUUAAACGUCACGCCCAGAAAAAGUUACCAGAUUCAUGCUAACUGCACAAUGCUUUUCCUUUUUGGGAAAUUCAUGCUGAGCAGAACGGCAUACAGCCAGCAAAAAGUCACACUACCACAUCUCUUACAGCCCUAAGGUCUAGGUGAGGAAUAUCAAAAAAUAGCACAGGCCCUGGAAUAAAAGCCCCAGCUGAAAGGAGGAGAAAGAGACAGAGGGGUUGGGCUUUACAGAGACUUUCCAAUAUCCUCAAAAUUGUGUACCAAGUCAGAACAAAGAAAAAUAUUCCUAGCCCCCUCACUAACUGAAAGAAAAAUAAUUUCAAACUCAAAUGCUCCCACUUCAGGGAAGAUUUAAAAUAGCACAUCUACCUCCUUAAGAGGUUGGGUUUAAUCUGAAUGUACUGGGUUUUAGUCUCCCUGGCAAUUUCUCAGCUAAAAUGUUAGUUCUUAUCUUGACAAUUCUUUUUGUUGAUGUGUAAAAUGGACUAGGAAUUCCACAGGGAGAUGGCAAGUCUCCUAGAAUAAGCUCACUUCAGAGUAAGCUCAGGGCUCUCAGUAUGCCUCCAUGUUAUGUUGCACUCAUCUGUUAUACCUUUGACUCCUUUUGAGUUCAACAGUCUUAUGAUUUGUAUCAAAAAGCUGAAUUUGACCCCUCCAUUCAUAAUCUGUAUCCAAAUCAGCCCGAGUUUCAGGUUUGGGUCUGUACAUUUUACACUAUAUGUAUGCAUUAAAUAGUCUGACUGGAUUCCUACCUGAUAGGAAUGAACAAUCUGUGUGCCUUGGUUUUCCUGUUGGAAACAUUAACCUCACUUUCCCACCCCAAUCUAUUUGAUGUCUUAACUUUCUUUUUAUGCAGAAGACAGAUCUCAUGAAAAUUAAUUCCCCAUAACCGCUAAGGAUUGGAGGUUGUAGAUUUGCUAAAUGAAUUCACAUAUUAUAACUCAGGUUUUCUCUUUAAAGCAGCUUUAUAGUGUUUCUUCUUUAAGAAUAGAUAAGCCCAGUGAGGCUGACAUGUUUUUAAGUACAGGCAAAAAUCACAGGGCCUGCAUGCCUGUGUGUGUGCCUCAAGCUCACUGGUAGACUAAUGCUUUGAGAGAUGUUAGAAAAGCUGCUAAUUCUCCUGAAAGGAUCAAACCACUUUCAAUUAUUAUUGUUUGUACUGGGUUUUUUUCUAUAGUGCAGAAAUAGUGAAAAACUCCAUAUUUACAUUCUCUUAAGGGGUUGUGUCUGUCAAUCCUAUCAAUAUCCAGGAUAAAACAUAGGGAACAAUAGGGAAGAAGUGGCAAUGUCACUGUUUAAUACCAGAACUGCUAUUCUGAAAGUAAGAGAUUCUAAUGCUCUGGUUCCUUAUGUGUUGGCUUUUUUUUUUUUUUUUUUUUUUUUUGAAUAAUACACCAUAUAUUUCCAUCCAACAAAUCACAGUAAAAUUAAUAAGCGUAUAAUAUGUAGGAAUUAACACAGGACUUCGAUUUUUUUCAGUGCAUACUCAGGAGCUGCCAUGGCAGAAAGAUAAUACACAGUUGACUGAUUCCAAAUAGGGGGAAAAAAACCUCCCAGAAUUAAAGAACUUCUGUUUUAAAUUAAAACAAGGGCUAGGUUUCCAAGGGCAUGUGAUCAUUAAUUUAUAAAGGCUGUGGUUUGCUUAUCAGGUGACAUUAAUGGAAUCACUGACCUGUAUCAAAAGCUGUGGAAAGAACAAACUUAGAUUCUUUGAAACAAACAUAUUGGUUCCAUGCCUUGGCCACAGAGACUACUCUACUUUGUUUUUAGUUGAGAAGUGUCCAUACACCAAAUCCAUGGGGACAUUUCCAGGAAUCUCUGGCUACAAAUGAUGUUUCAAUCACUGCAAAUCUGGACCAAAAAACCUCCCAAAACAACCAAAACCAACCAAACAAAAAAGCCAGCAAAAAAAAAACAACAAAACAAACCUUUAAAAGCCCUUGAUAACACAAAUGACAAAACCUGUCCAUUCUUGAGUAGUAACACCACACAUAAAUGUUUUCCAGCUCUAAAAAGUGAUCACAUGGAACUCAGGAAUGACCCACACUUCUACCACCACCUGCCACUUUUGUGUGGAAGCAAUACCAUAUUUCUCCAUAGAGCAAACCUGGUAAAGUGUUAGUUAUAUCUGAUGGGUCUUUUUGCAUUACAAUUAAGGAAGACUCUCUAAAGUAUCUAAAAUUGAUAAAUACAAGGUCCACUCAGGAAAAGCAGAAAACAUUUUGUCUAGAUUAAAUAAUUUCUGGAUGGAAGGUUAAGAAUGACAGGUCCUAUUUUAAGAUGUGCUGUCCUCCAAAUCAGGUCACUACUAAAUACUGUAAAUUCAGCCUUGCACUUCACUCAGAUGAGCAGAAAAUGUACAAAAAACUCCACUCAUCCCUAGAACAAAAUACAAGCUGUAAGAUCUGCAAUCACUUCUAUGCAAAAACUGCCAUGUGCUAACAGGCAGACACUACUUAGACUAGUUAUUUGAAUAAUAGCUAUUAGAUCAGCAAGGACCAAAGGCAAUGAUUUUUUUUUCAGGAGACAUUCUUUGUGUUGUUAGUUAGAUUAACUUUAAACUCAUUGUAAGAAGCAUAAAAGAGAAAUCUGCUGUUAAAAUAUACCAAUUUGAAGUUUAUGAAGUGAAAAAUAUCUAUCCAAUGCUGUUGAUUAUUUGUCUAAAUUAUUCCCUUUUCAAUAACACCUUUGUUUUUGUUUACUCUUGAAUGGAAAGCCUAGUCAACUGGGAAAAUGCUACUUGAAAGUCUGCAGGCUUCGUUUGUUAAAACUGACUUUUGAUAUGAUUACAGUUUCUGAUUUUAUACAUUGAGAACAGCUUCAGAAACUGGAACCAUGAGAUUCAGUCUAAUUUAUAAAUUUUACAUAAUUGCCAAUGUAUUAAGUGGAGGAUAUACAAUCUUUCAAAAGCCAUCCUUCAACUAUAAGCUAGCUUUUGGAUAAAGAGUCCAGUCAAACAUCUUUUUUUUAAAUUUGUUUACCCCUGUGAAGAAUCAAAUGGAAAAUAUUAUAGAAAUACCACUCACAAUAAAAUCAAUGAGAUAUACCUGCUUAAUGUCUGUAAAGUCCAUUUAGUUCAUAGGCCUUCAAACAAAACCAAACCCUUUCUAACUCUGGAACUUACAAUUUUUUUCUUUUGCAAGAUCUUUGGAUACAAGAUAAGGAGAUAUACAGAAAUCUCAGCUGAAAAUAAUUUCAAACUAAAUAAUUCCUAAUGGUCAUUUAUAAAUAUCAGUUAGGUACUUCAAAAUAUCCUCAGUGAUUUUAUUCUAUUGGUUAACAUCACAUUUCUAUUACUAUAUUAUCUGAAUUACAGGGUUGUUAAAGAUUAACACUGAAACUGUCUUGGAAAACAAGUCUGACUUCAUAAAUGUUGCGUAAGGAUAGCUAAUCAUAAAAUAUCUCCAUUACUUAGUUUACAAACCUUUUAAACAAAUGCCUAAAUGUAAUCCAAGUUAAAUGCUCCUAUUACUUCAGGAACAGGAACCAGGUGCCCUUUCAUAUGUUAAAUUAAAUAUCAAUGUAUUUAUUUGAAUUACUGUUUAAGAUUUAAUACUCUCUUGUCAGUCAUAAGAACUACCAAAAAUUUCUGCCUCUCUAAAGCAUAAAUGCCACAUAUAUCUUCAUACAGAACUUUAAAGAAAGCCUUAGCACAAACAGAAAAUAUCUUAACAUUAGCAUCAUAAUAAACAUGCAGGAUUUUCUUUGUGGUGAGAUCUUAAAGGGGUAAAUUCCUGCAAUAAAUCAGAAGCAAAAUUACAUAACUCUUGAUCAUUGUCAGUUUUAUGGACAGGUAAUAGAGGAAUUUCCUGUGAGUUUUGCAGUGCAACCUUUUCAUACAGGGAGCUUCCAAUAUGCCUGAAUCAGAAAAAAGAGAAUGCAGUAAUCAAUGGAAAGCAUGAAGGAGGCAGGUGAGAGAUAAAAACAAAUAAAGAGUGGUUAUGAUGUGAAAAUAAAUUUUCCAUGGCUUUGCUGACUCUUGCUUGGAUGGCAGCUCUUAAAUGCAGGAAGCCUUACAGCUGCCAAGCAUCAUUAUCUGAUAUUUUAUUAUCACAUGAGAUACCACCCCUGACAUGACAAUGUGAUAUGAAUGGCAUGUCACAUCAGUCUGAGGUAAUCUUAAAGGGUGUCUCACUCCAUUUUGGUAGCAAAUACAAGAGCAGGUGACAAUGAAAUCAGGGAUAAGCUGGAGAUAUGCUAACACUGUUGCUUUCUUUCCAGGGUAUACAAACCAGUCCUAGGAUUUAUGUUUCUAUUUUCUAUAGCCAAAAGAAAAUGAGGACUCUUCAGCACUGAACCAGUUUUGUGGUCCUCUUUCAAUUUCUAUGAAAGAAGAGUCAUCAUGGAAAUGCAGAUAGAGAGUUAAUGAUUAUGAAAUUUCCUUGAACAAUUUCACUGGAGCAGGUAAGUGCCACAGAAAAACAGGAUGUGGAAAUCAAAUUAGAAACUGACUGAAAUGUAAAAA